Molecule: long non-coding RNA, 1026 nt
Organism: Brassica oleracea var. oleracea
Lineage: Eukaryota; Viridiplantae; Streptophyta; Magnoliopsida; Brassicales; Brassicaceae
Exons: 5
Source: RefSeq, a predicted model, not a curated record
CAACAAAACCUGAAUGAUUGGGAAAUCCAACAAAACCAUCGCUGCUUAGCACGGCGUAGAGCAAUCCAGUCACAAACCCUAUAAACCCUACUCUCCCAACCACUCCAGCCUCCAGGCAGAACACGGCGGCGGAGCAGAAUCCGGCGAAGCCCGUGGCGGAGACGAAGAGCGCGAUGCGGAGGGAGACGCGAGAAGAUCCGCAGAAGGCGUCUUUUUCAACGUCACAACAACCUUCCUCUGACAAGAAACCCGAAGAUGCUGAGAUCAAGCCUCAGGAUUCGGAUCAUGGUGUUUCUCCAAAGUAUCCGGUUUUGUAUCCGGGUCUUGUUCCCGGGUGGAAUCCUGGGCAGUAUGAUGAACAGACGAACCGUGGAGCUGGUGUUUAUGCGGUUCCUGUACAUGUGGCUGGUCUUCCUUUAAACUAUCUCAUUCCUCUCACUUACAAUGUUCCCACGUUCAAAUCACUGGUGGUGUUGCUUUUGAGAUGACUUUGUGGUAGAAAGCUGUAGGCUUGAUGAUGAAUCUUCUUUUGGGUUGAUGGUUUUUAUCUUCUUUUGGGUUGAUGGUUUCGGACUAGACCAAGCAAUGAGACUGAGGCUGAGGGAGAGAACCAAGCGCAAGGUGGGCAAGUUCAGUAGCAGCAGCAACAACCUGCAGGUCAAAGGCAAGUGGUGGUAUGGAGAUUUGAGAUUGUGUUUCAGCUUGACAUAUUGCUAAUACUCAAGCUUGCUGCUGUUAUCUAUUUGUUCAACCAAGAUGGAUCAAGACAACGGCUAGUUGUUCUUGUGAUUUUUUGCCACCAUUAUCUACUUAUACCAAACUGGAGCCCUUGCAUCUUUUAUCCGAUGGCUUUCGCAAGGUAUGCAUAGAGCAGCGGUACCAUCACCACGAGCUCAUCGACCUGCUGGGAGAGGUGAUAAUGAUCCAGCAGCUGCAAUUUCACUAAACCAAGAUGCUGUUCCCGGUGAGGAAGGACAAGAGUAUGUUCCCGAUUAAUCCUGCCAAAACCUGACCUCGUUCUUGCUG